AGUGAACGCUGGCGGUAGGCCUAACACAUGCAAGUCGAACGGCAGCACAGUAAGAGCUUGCUCUUACGGGUGGCGAGUGGCGGACGGGUGAGGAAUACAUCGGAAUCUACUUUUUCGUGGGGGAUAACGUAGGGAAACUUACGCUAAUACCGCAUACGACCUACGGGUGAAAGCAGGGGAUCUUCGGACCUUGCGCGAUUGAAUGAGCCGAUGUCGGAUUAGCUAGUUGGCGGGGUAAAGGCCCACCAAGGCGACGAUCCGUAGCUGGUCUGAGAGGAUGAUCAGCCACACUGGAACUGAGACACGGUCCAGACUCCUACGGGAGGCAGCAGUGGGGAAUAUUGGACAAUGGGCGCAAGCCUGAUGCAGCAAUACCGCGUGGGUGAAGAAGGCCUUCGGGUUGUAAAGCCCUUUUGUUGGGAAAGAAAAGCAGCAGGUUAAUACCCCGCUGUUCUGACGGUACCCAAAGAAUAAGCAACGGCUAACUUCGUG
RNAcentral lists this ribosomal RNA (492 nucleotides) under uncultured bacterium. RNAcentral describes it as "partial 16S ribosomal RNA". It matches the Rfam family "Bacterial small subunit ribosomal RNA", at positions 29 to 507 of the family's 1533-position model. The record is from RNAcentral.